Molecule: ribosomal RNA, 456 nt
Filed under: uncultured bacterium
Lineage: Bacteria
Description: bacterial SSU rRNA
Rfam family: Bacterial small subunit ribosomal RNA
Source: RNAcentral
UACGGAAGGCAGCAGUGGGGAAUAUUGCACAAUGGGCGGAAGCCUGAUGCAGCUAUGCCGCGUGUAUGAAGAAGGCCUUAGGGUUGUAAAGUACUUUCAUCGGGGAGGAAAAAACAAAACUAAUAAUUUUAUUUCUUGACGUUACCCGAAAAAGAAGCACCGGCUAACUCCGUGCCAGCAGCCGCGGUAAUACGGAGGGUGCUAGCGUUAAUCAGAAUUACUGGGCGUAAAGAGCACGUAGGUGGUUUUUUUAAGUCAGAUGUGAAAUCCCUGGGCUUAACCUAGGAACUGCAUUUUGAAACUGAAAUACUAGAGUAUCGUAGAGGGAGGUAGAAUUCUAGGUGUAGCGGUGAAAUGCGUAGAUAUCUGGAGGAAUACCUGUGGCGAAAGCGGCCUCCUAAACGAAUACUGACACUGAGGUGCGAAAGCGUGGGGAGCAAACAGGGAUUAGAUACC